AUGACAUAUAUACUAAAAUUGGAACGAUACAGAGAUUAGCAUGGCCCCUGCGCAAGGAUGACACGCAAAUUCGUGAAGCGUUCCAUAUUUAA
Molecule: small nuclear RNA, 92 nt
Filed under: Neogale vison (American mink)
Lineage: Eukaryota; Metazoa; Chordata; Mammalia; Carnivora; Mustelidae
Source: RNAcentral